CUGAUGGCGGCCGUGCAGCUGGUGGAGUCCGGAGGGGGACAACAGACACCCGGGGGGUCCCUCACCCUCCGCUGCAAGGGCUCCGGCUUCACCUUCAGCAGCGUCGGCAUGGUUUGGGUGCGACAGGCCCCCGGGAAGGGGCUGGAGAUCGUCGCCAGUAUUUGGAAUGAUGGUAGUAGCACAUGGUACGCGCCGUCGGUCAAGGGGCACUUCACCAUCUCCAGGGACAACUCCCAGAGCACGGUCACGCUGCAGAUGAACAGCCUCCGGGACGACGACACGGCCACCUACUACUGCGCGAAAGCUGAUUAUGGUGGUUGUGGUGCUGGUAAUGCUGAUGGUGAUGCUUAUGGUGGUGGCACCAACCCCAGCCCCAUGGAACAACAUCCCUGCGCUGUGUCCCCAAAUCAACCGCUAUUGACCCAAAACUGA
Molecule: non-coding RNA, 432 nt
Organism: Chroicocephalus ridibundus (black-headed gull)
Lineage: Eukaryota; Metazoa; Chordata; Aves; Charadriiformes; Laridae
Source: the annotation of a RefSeq genome assembly